Molecule: small RNA, 125 nt
Filed under: Marmota monax (woodchuck)
Lineage: Eukaryota; Metazoa; Chordata; Mammalia; Rodentia; Sciuridae
Source: RNAcentral
ACUGGGCAUGGUGGUACAUGCCUGUAAUCCCACUGGCUUGGGAGGCUGAGACAGGAGGAUUGUGAGUUCAAAGCCAGUAUCAACAAAAGUGAGGUGCUAAGCAACUCAGUGAGACCCUGUCUCUA